RNAcentral lists this ribosomal RNA (450 nucleotides) under uncultured bacterium. Its description in RNAcentral is "bacterial SSU rRNA". It matches the Rfam family "Bacterial small subunit ribosomal RNA", at positions 59 to 524 of the family's 1533-position model. The record is from RNAcentral.
GAUUCGAGCGAGAAAGUGGAGCAAUACAUGAGUACAGUGGCGACCGGGCUGAGUAACACGUGACCAACCUGCCCUCGAGUGGGGAAUAACUCCGGGAAACCGGGGCUAAUGCCGCAUAACAUCCUCGGAUCGGAAGAACUGGGGAUCAAAGGAGCAAUUCGCUUGAGGAGGGGGUCGCGGCUGAUUAGCGAGUUGGCGGGGUAACGGCCCACCAAGGCAAAGAUCGGUAUCCGGCCUGAGAGGGCGCACGGACACACUGGAACUGAAACACGGUCCAGACUCCUACGGGAGGCAGCAGUGGGGAAUUUUGCGCAAUGGGGGAAACCCUGACGCAGCAACGCCGCGUGGAGGAUGAAGUCCCUUGGGACGUAAACUCCUUUCGACCGGGACGAUAAUGACGGUACCGGUGGAAGAAGCACCGGGCUACUCUGUGCCAGCAGCCGCGUAGAA